GACGAACGCUGGCGGCGUGCUUAGCACAUGCAAGUCGAACGGAAAGGCCCUGCUUUUGUGGGGUGCUCGAGUGGCGAACGGGUGAGUAACACGUGAGUAACCUGCCCUUGACUUUGGGAUAACUUCAGGAAACUGGGGCUAAUACCGGAUAGGAGCUCCUGCUGCAUGGUGGGGGUUGGAAAGUUUCGGCGGUUGGGGAUGGACUCGCGGCUUAUCAGCUUGUUGGUGGGGUAGUGGCCUACCAAGGCUUUGACGGGUAGCCGGCCUGAGAGGGUGACCGGCCACAUUGGUACUGAGGUACGGCGCAGACUCCUACGGGAGGCAGCAGUGGGGAAUAUUGCACAAUGGGCGGAAGCCUGAUGCAGCAACGCCGCGUGCGGGAUGACGGCCUUCGGGUUGUAAACCGCUUUCGCCUGUGACGAAGCGUGAGUGACGGUAAUGGGUAAAGAAGCACCGGCUAACUACGUG
RNAcentral lists this ribosomal RNA (468 nucleotides) under uncultured bacterium. RNAcentral describes it as "partial 16S ribosomal RNA". It matches the Rfam family "Bacterial small subunit ribosomal RNA", at positions 28 to 507 of the family's 1533-position model. The record is from RNAcentral.